This 327-nucleotide ribosomal RNA is filed under the name uncultured eukaryote. RNAcentral's name for it is "partial 18S ribosomal RNA". It matches the Rfam family "Eukaryotic small subunit ribosomal RNA", at positions 1470 to 1796 of the family's 1831-position model. The record is from RNAcentral.
CCCUUAGAUGUUCUGGGCCGCACGCGCGCUACACUGACGAAUGCAACGAGCUUAUAACCUUGGCCGAAAGGUCUGGGUAAUCUCCAAAUUUCGUCGUGAUGGGGAUAGAUUAUUGCAAUUAUUAAUCUUCGACGAGGAAUGCCUAGUAAGCGCAAGUCAUCAGCUUGCGUUGAUUACGUCCCUGCCCUUUGUACACACCGCCCGUCGCUCCUACCGAUUGAAUGGUCCGGUGAAGCGUUCGGACCGUGGCCUUUGGACGGUUCGCCGUCUGUUGGCUGCGGGAAGUUCGUUAAACCUUAUCAUUUAGAGGAAGGAGAAGUCGUAACA